Molecule: long non-coding RNA, 353 nt
Filed under: Ananas comosus (pineapple)
Lineage: Eukaryota; Viridiplantae; Streptophyta; Magnoliopsida; Poales; Bromeliaceae
Description: long non-coding RNA (ACOM_LNC033257)
Source: RNAcentral
AUGCUAAUCCCGGUAGAUGGGACAUGUGAGAUGUGAGCUUGGGGCGAAUUUGAUGAACCCCGAAAAGAUUGGGUAAAGGCUAAAGUGAAUGUGUGAAAGUAUGCAUUAUGAGCUAUGAAUUUGGUAUUCCAGUUUAGUGGAUUUAUGGCUGAGGUGCAUGUGGGACGUCCUUCACCUCGAGCCUGGAUGUAUGCGGUAUUCCGCAGAUGAUUGACUCAAGACCGAGUCGGGUGGUUAGCUUGGCUAGGGUAGAGGAAAACCUUAGGAGCAAAUAACCAAUGAUAUAAAGUGAUAAGAUGUAUAAAUUAUGAAAAAGCUAUAGAUAGCAUCAUACAAAGUAAAAUCAUAUAUUC